This is a long non-coding RNA of Drosophila miranda, 1134 nucleotides long. RefSeq lists it as uncharacterized. The transcript has 3 exons. The record is from RefSeq and is a predicted model, not a curated record. NCBI's taxonomy places the organism in Eukaryota, Metazoa, Arthropoda, Insecta, Diptera, Drosophilidae.
CGGUCGGCACGCACACAUUACAUUGCGUUUGUGUGCGUUGACAGAAGUCAAACUAAAACAAAAAGUAUUAUUGUGUUGCUGCCGACCACUGUUACAAACGCGUUGUGCCGGGUCGCAGUUUGACAUGAUCGUUCAUGUUCUAUUACAUACGUGAUCCGGUGUUUCUUGCGAAUCAUGUCCGCUUUAAGUCCGUUUGCGAGACUUUGGUCGUCGCUCGGUUUUUGACCGGAAAACAAAAGGUGAAGCGGAGAUUGAAAUAAAUUAUGACUCUGUCAAACGCACUUUGCAAAGAAAAAGACAGCCUUUCUUGCCAAAGCCUCCAUCUUCUGCAGAGAAUGUUCUGGAAGCUUUUCAAGACGAAAAUAUUAUGAACCGUUUUGGAAUAACCAAGGGUAAUACUGCAAAUCAGUUCUAUAAAAAAGUGUACGCAUCGAGCUCGUUUGCUUAUUGCAUAUUUUCAUCAGACAAGGUAAUACCCUUAAUGCAAGCCAACAUUCCGGAGCAUAAUAGGCAUUAUUUAAUUGAUGCUACAUUUAAAGUGUGCCCUUUUGGAGAUUUUAAGCAACUUUUAAUAAUUUAUAUUAAAUAUUUGCAGAAGGUAAAUUUCUUCUUAUGCUACACUUUAUUUACUAACUCUAAUCAAAAAUUUUUUUUAAUUAGAGAACCCCUUUUGUUUUUGUUUUGAUGACUCGCAAAACGGAGCUUUGUUAUCAGCACUUAUUCACAUAUAUAGACUCGAACAUUUGCUGCCUUAAAGGAGCAUCCUUUAUAUCAGAUUACGAAAAGGCAAUGCGUAACGCGUUAAAAGGUCUGCAUCCCAACAUGAAUUUUUACGCCUGUUGGUUUCAUUUUACUCAAGCAUGCAAGAAAAAUCGAGUGGUUUUGAAAAUACGCUGAAAUGCAAUAAGAAAGCUUACAUGCUAUUUAUGAAAUUUUUGCACUUGCCGCUUUUACCAGAAAGCAAAAUUGUCGAAGCAUUUAACCUUCUAAAAGGCGAAGCAAUAAACUUAAAUAAGAAGCUGUUUUCUCCAUUUUUAAAAUAUUUUAAUAGACAGUGGCUUAAAAAGGAGGGACCAAAAAGCAUAUCCGUGUUUAAGAGGUCAACUAGAACCACGAUCUCAGUAGAAGCUUAUA